RNAcentral lists this unclassified non-coding RNA (312 nucleotides) under Basidiomycota sp. RNAcentral's name for it is "partial contains small subunit ribosomal RNA, internal transcribed spacer 1, and 5.8S ribosomal RNA". The stretch from base 1 to 47 matches the Rfam family "Eukaryotic small subunit ribosomal RNA", at positions 1785 to 1831 of the family's 1831-position model. The record is from RNAcentral. Lineage: Eukaryota; Fungi; Basidiomycota.
AAAGUCGUAACAAGGUUUCCGUAGGUGAACCUGCGGAAGGAUCAUUAACACGAAUUUUAUCCAAUAUCAAACUAAACGCGAACUUUUCCCCUCCCUAUCUCAAGUAUAUCAUAUACUUGAUUUAGGCUAACCUUUUAUAACAAUUUUUUUAACACCUUUUAAUUUUAUAAGUCACAGGUUAACGCCUUGACUAACUAACUAAAAAUUUUACUUAAGAUGUCAACUUAUGUUGUCUCUUAAUUAAUAUUUUUUCUUUACGAAAUAAAUAUUAGUAUAUAAGAACAACUCUUAGCAAUGGAUAUCUUGGUUCUC